AACUGGCCUCUAAUGU
This 16-nucleotide ribosomal RNA is filed under the name Naegleria fultoni. RNAcentral describes it as "partial large subunit ribosomal RNA". The record is from RNAcentral. Lineage: Eukaryota; Heterolobosea; Eutetramitea; Acrasida; Naegleriidae.